CAGCGGGAGCCUACACAUGNCAGCCGAGCGGUAGAAGAUCUUCGGAUCUUUGAGAGCGGCGUACGGGUGCGGAACACGUGUGCAACCUGCCUUUAUCAGGGGGAUAGCCUUUCGAAAGGAAGAUUAAUACCCCAUAAUAUAAUGAGUGGCAUCACUUAUUAUUGAAAACUCCGGUGGAUAGAGAUGGGCACGCGCAAGAUUAGAUAGUUGGUAGGGUAACGGCCUACCAAGUCAGUGAUCUUUAGGGGGCCUGAGAGGGUGAUCCCCCACACUGGUACUGAGACACGGACCAGACUCCUACGGGAGGCAGCAGUGAGGAAUAUUGGACAAUGGGUGAGAGCCUGAUCCAGCCAUCCCGCGUGAAGGACGACGGCCCUAUGGGUUGUAAACUUCUUUUGUAUAGGGAUAAACCUUUCCACGUGUGGAAAGCUGAAGGUACUAUACGAAUAAGCACCGGCUAACUCCGUGCCAGCAGCCGCGGUAAU
This 485-nucleotide ribosomal RNA is filed under the name uncultured bacterium. RNAcentral's name for it is "bacterial SSU rRNA". It matches the Rfam family "Bacterial small subunit ribosomal RNA", at positions 39 to 524 of the family's 1533-position model. The record is from RNAcentral.